UACGUAGGGAGCAAGCGUUGUCCGGAUUUAUUGGGCGUAAAGAGCUCGUAGGCGGCUUGGCAAGUCGGAUGUGAAACCCCCAGGCUUAACCUGGGGCCGCCAUUCGAUACUGCUAUGGCUUGAGUUCGGUAGGGGAUUAUGGAAUUCCCGGUGUAGCGGUGAAAUGCGCAGAUAUCGGGAGGAACACCAAUGGCGAAGGCAGCAAUCUGGGCCGACACUGACGCUGAGGAGCGAAAGCGUGGGGGGAGCAAACAGGAUUAGAUACCCUGGUAGUCCACGCCCUAAACGUUGGGCACUAGGUGUGGGACCUACUUCGACGGGUUCCGUGCCGUAGCUAACGCAUUAAGUGCCCCGCCUGGGGAGUACGGCCGCAAGGCUAAA
This 381-nucleotide ribosomal RNA is filed under the name uncultured bacterium. Its description in RNAcentral is "bacterial SSU rRNA". It matches the Rfam family "Bacterial small subunit ribosomal RNA", at positions 524 to 898 of the family's 1533-position model. The record is from RNAcentral.